RNAcentral lists this long non-coding RNA (482 nucleotides) under Lathyrus oleraceus (garden pea). Its description in RNAcentral is "Pisum sativum (pea) long non-coding RNA (PSAT_LNC023485)". Lineage: Eukaryota; Viridiplantae; Streptophyta; Magnoliopsida; Fabales; Fabaceae. The record is from RNAcentral.
UUAGAUUAUCAAUUUAAUGUACUGAUUUGUUUAGCUUUGUCUUCUAAGUUAAAUUAAGAUGUCACCCUUAUGUCAUGCUUAGUGCAUGUAAUGAUUACUUGUAAAGAUCCUAGCAAAUGGACACAAAUAACAAAUUCUGAACAGAACACGCGAGGAAGAGCCUAAUAUUGCAAUAGACAUGAGAGUUGCAUAGGGUCAAAAAUAACACUGAUGUUAGUUGUAAAAUAAUUUCACUCCUUUAUACCUUGCACUCUCCCAGGUCGAAUCAGCUUUGCUUUUGGCCAAAAUCGAUGAUUCAUAAAGGUGAGAAAGUGAAAAAAAUCCAGUGCUUUGAUUUUUGUCAUGAAAUGGUAACUGUUUGAUAAUUUCUUAAAGUCUAUUGCUAGCUAGUCUUCUAAACUCUAAGGACAUUGUUUAAGAUUUUUCUAAAUGAGAUAAUUAUUUAUUGAAAAAUUAAAUAGAUCUCUUCUCAAUGUAUCAAA